Molecule: ribosomal RNA, 279 nt
Filed under: uncultured bacterium
Lineage: Bacteria
Description: partial 16S ribosomal RNA
Rfam family: Bacterial small subunit ribosomal RNA
Source: RNAcentral
UGCCAGCAGCCGCGGUAAUACGUAGGGAGCGAGCGUUAUCCGGAAUUAUUGGGCGUAAAGCGUGCGUAGGCGGUUCGUUAAGUCAAAUCUGAAAGCCCACAGCUUAACUGUGGAGGGUGAUUUGAAACUGGCGAGCUUGAGUACGGCAGAGGUUAGUGGAAUUCAAUGUGUAGCGGUGGAAUGCGUAGAUAUAUUGAGGAACACCAGUGGCGAAGGCGGCUAACUGGACCGGAACUGACGCUGAUGCACGAAAGCGUGGGGAGCAAAACGGAUUAGAUA